Molecule: ribosomal RNA, 381 nt
Filed under: uncultured soil bacterium
Lineage: Bacteria
Description: bacterial SSU rRNA
Rfam family: Bacterial small subunit ribosomal RNA
Source: RNAcentral
AGAUUGAACGCUGGCGGCAGGCCUAACACAUGCAAGUCGAGCGGUAGAGAGGUGCUUGCAUCUCUUGAGAGCGGCGGGCGGGUGAGUAAUGCCUAGGAAUCUGCCUAGUGGUGGGGGAUAACGUUCGGAAACGGACGCUAAUACCGCAUACGUCCUACGGGAGAAAGCGGGGGACCUUCGGGCCUCGCGCCAUUAGAUGAGCCUAGGUCGGAUUAGCUAGUUGGUGAGGUAAUGGCUCACCAAGGCGACGAUCCGUAACUGGUCUGAGAGGAUGAUCAGUCACACUGGAACUGAGACACGGUCCAGACUCCUACGGGAGGCAGCAGUGGGGGAAUAUUAGGACAAUGGGGACGAAAGCCUGAUCCAGCCAUCGCCGCGUGU